AUACCUUUCUCGGCCUUUUGGCUAAGAUCAAGUGUAGUAUCUGUUCUUAUCAGAUUAAUAUCUGAUAUGUGGGUCAUUGGUUCAUUCUAUUCAGAUCAGAUCCUUUUUGAAAUGAAAGACUAUAA
Non-coding RNA from Glycine soja, 125 nucleotides. The record is from Rfam. Lineage: Eukaryota; Viridiplantae; Streptophyta; Magnoliopsida; Fabales; Fabaceae.